RNAcentral lists this ribosomal RNA (900 nucleotides) under uncultured beta proteobacterium. Its description in RNAcentral is "bacterial SSU rRNA". It matches the Rfam family "Bacterial small subunit ribosomal RNA", at positions 1 to 899 of the family's 1533-position model. Lineage: Bacteria; Pseudomonadati; Pseudomonadota; Betaproteobacteria. The record is from RNAcentral.
AUUAGAGUUUGAUCCUGGCUCAGAUUGAACGCUGGCGGCAUGCCUUACACAUGCAAGUCGAACGGUAACAGGGAGCUUGCUCCGCUGACGAGUGGCGAACGGGUGAGUAAAGUAUCGGAACGUACCUUUCAGUGGGGGAUAACGUAGCGAAAGUUACGCUAAUACCGCAUAUUCUGUGAGCAGGAAAGCAGGGGAUCGCAAGACCUUGCGCUGAUUGAGCGGCCGAUAUCAGAUUAGCUAGUUGGUGAGGUAAAGGCUCACCAAGGCGACGAUCUGUAGCGGGUCUGAGAGGAUGAUCCGCCACACUGGAACUGAGACACGGUCCAGACUCCUACGGGAGGCAGCAGUGGGGAAUUUUGGACAAUGGGGGCAACCCUGAUCCAGCCAUGCCGCGUGAGUGAAGAAGGCCUUCGGGUUGUAAAGCUCUUUCGGCCGGGAAGAAAUCGCAUGGGCUAAUACCCUGUGCGGAUGACGGUACCGGCAUAAGAAGCACCGGCUAACUACGUGCCAGCAGCCGCGGUAAUACGUAGGGUGCGAGCGUUAAUCGGAAUUACUGGGCGUAAAGCGUGCGCAGGCGGUUUUGUAAGACAGGCGUGAAAUCCCCGGGCUCAACCUGGGAACUGCGCUUGUGACUGCAAGGCUAGAGUAUGGCAGAGGGGGGUGGAAUUCCACGUGUAGCAGUGAAAUGCGUAGAGAUGUGGAGGAACACCAAUGGCGAAGGCAGCCCCCUGGGCCAAUACUGACGCUCAUGCACGAAAGCGUGGGUAGCAAACAGGAUUGGAUACCCUGGUAGUCCACGCCCUAAACGAUGUCAACUAGGUGUUGGGUGGGUAAAACCAUUUAGUACCGGAGCUAACGCGUGAAGUUGACCGCCUGGGGAGUACGGCCGCAAGGUUAAAA